RNAcentral lists this ribosomal RNA (393 nucleotides) under uncultured bacterium. RNAcentral describes it as "bacterial SSU rRNA". It matches the Rfam family "Bacterial small subunit ribosomal RNA", at positions 30 to 417 of the family's 1533-position model. The record is from RNAcentral.
AGUGAACGCUGGCGGCAGGCCUAAUACAUGCAAGUCGAACGGCAGCACAGCAGAGCUUGCUCUGUGGGUGGCGAGUGGCGGACGGGUGAGGAAUACAUGGGAAUCUGCCCAGUCGUGGGGGAUAACGUAUGGAAACGUACGCUAAUACCGCAUGCGCCCUACGGGGGAAAGUCGGGGACCGCAAGGCCUGACGCGAUUGGAUGAGCCCAUGUUCGAUUAGCUGGUUGGCGGGGUAAAGGCCCACCAAGGCGACGAUCGAUAGCUGGUCUGAGAGGAUGAUCAGCCACACUGGAACUGAGACACGGUCCAGACUCCUACGGGAGGCAGCAGUGGGGAAUUUUGGACAAUGGGCGCAAGCCUGAUCCAGCCAUGCCGCGUGAGUGAAGAAGGCCU